Molecule: ribosomal RNA, 440 nt
Filed under: uncultured bacterium
Lineage: Bacteria
Description: partial 16S ribosomal RNA
Rfam family: Bacterial small subunit ribosomal RNA
Source: RNAcentral
CCUACGGGAGACAGCAGUGGGGAAUAUUGGACAAUGGGGGGAACCCUGAUCCAGCGACGCCGCGUGGAGGAUGAAGGUUUUCGGAUUGUAAACUCCUUUUGUUAGAGAAGAUAAUGACGGUAUCUAACGAAUAAGCACCGGCUAACUCCGUGCCAGCAGCCGCGGGAAUACGGAGGGUGCAAGCGUUACUCGGAAUCACUGGGCGUAAAGAGCGCGUAGGCGGGAUAGCAAGUCAGAUGUGAAAUCCUAUGGCUUAACCAUAGAACUGCAUUUGAAACUGUUAUUCUAGAGUAUGGGAGAGGUAGGUGGAAUUCUUGGUGUAGGGGUAAAAUCCGUAGAGAUCAAGAGGAAUACUCAUUGCGAAGGCGACCUGCUAGAACAUAACUGACGCUGAUGCGCGAAAGCGUGGGGAGCAAACAGGAUUAGAUACCCCAGUAGUC